GCCUGCCAAUCAAUUUUUACUUUAUAUGUGUGAUAAAAAGAGCGCAAUGGCCAAUGGGUGUAGUUUCCACUAAACUAUGUCAUUCUCAAGUCGACUUACGUUAAAAGAUCGUGAGUUUAAUUCUGGCCAAUAUAGAACAGUUUUCAGGGAAUCAACCAGAUAAAUUAAGGAGAACAUUUUAAACAGCCGCUAUCGAUAAGUUCGCGCGACUCCUAAAAUCUGCCGGUUGCGCCAAGUGGCCUACGUGACUCGGGGCCCCCUCGCUAUGGCGCCAGCAGCUAAACGAAUUCCCGCCUUAUUGACAAGAGCAAAAUACACACAUGAAAAUUCCACAAUCUACCCACUUACGACAGUAGAAAUGCAAUUAUCGCAUAGUGAUAACCUUCUGUUAUAUAACAAGUACACGAAAAAAAUAUAGCACGUGUCCAAAAGUCACAGAUCAGCUGAUCUGGGAUACUCACCCCACGAGUUAACCAGGCCAAUAUACAGUGCGAAAAUCGCUAGGAAGCACUGCAUUUUACACAUUUUGUUUCAUAA
Molecule: long non-coding RNA, 537 nt
Organism: Achroia grisella
Lineage: Eukaryota; Metazoa; Arthropoda; Insecta; Lepidoptera; Pyralidae
Exons: 3
Source: RefSeq, a predicted model, not a curated record